GUAGUCAUAUGCUUGUCUCAAAGCUUAAGCCAUGCAAGUCUCAGUACGAGCUGACUUAAAGUGAAACCGCAAAAGGCUCAGUAAACCGGUCAUAGUUUACCGGAUAUAUGCCACUCACGUGGAUAACUGUGGUAAUUCUAGAGCUAAUACAUGAUAACAAGUCCCGACCAGCGAUGGAGAGGACGCUUUUAUUGGAUCAAAACCAUUCGCCCGGGUUAGCCCGGGCGUUGGCUUGAUGAAUCUAGAUAACACCGCAGAUCGCACGGUCAUAGUACCGGUGACGUAUCCUUCAAAUGUCUGACUUAUCAGCUGUCGAUGGUAGACUCUGUGUCUACCAUGGCGCUCACGGGUGACGGGGAAUCAGGGUUCGAUUCCGGAGAGGGAGCCUGAGAAACGGCUACCACAUCCAAGGAAGGCAGCAGGCACGCAAAUUACCCACUCCCGGCACGGGGAGGUAGUGACAAAAAAUAACGAUACGGGACUCAUCCGAGGCCCCGUAAUCGGAAUGAGAACACACUAAAUCCUUUAACAAAAAUCUAUUGGAGGGAAAGUCUAGUGCCAGCAGCCGCGGUAACACCAGCUCCAAUAGCGUAUAUUAAAGUUGUUGCGGUUAAAAAGCUCGUAGUUGGUUCUGCGUGCCACGCUGUCGGUUCACCGCCUGCCGGUGCAACUGGCACGCCGUGGCAUGUCCUGUCGGUGGCGGACGGACCGGGUUCAGGGUCUCAUGCGGCAACGUGUGGGUCGCCCUAGGACACGUGCUCCUUACGCCGGCUCAAUCCUACCGCGGUGCUCUUCACCGAGUGUCGAGGUAGGCCGACACUGUUUACUUUGAACAAAUUAGAGUGCUUCAAGCAGGCUCUUAAAUCAGCCUGGAUAGUGGUGCAUGGAAUAAUGGAACAGGACCUUGGUUCUAUUUUGUUGGUUUUCGGAAUCCAAGGUAAUGAUCAAUAAGGACAGGCGGGGGCAUUCGUAUUGCGACGUUAGAGGUGAAAUUCUUGGAUCGUCGCAAGACGCACUAAAGCGAAAGCAUUUGCCAAGUAUGUCUUAAUUGAUCAAGAACGAAAGUUAGAGGUUCGAAGGCGAUCAGAUACCGCCCUAGUUCUAACCAUAAACGAUGUCAGCUAGCGAUCCGCCGACGUUCCUCCGAUGACUCGGCGGGGAGCUUUCCCCGGGAAACCAAAGCUUUUGGGAAGUAUGGUUGCAAAGCUGAAACUUAAAGGAAUUGACGGAAGGGCACUACCAGGAGUGGAGCCUGCGGCUUAAUUUGACUCAACACGCGAAAAUUUACCAGGCCCGGACAUUGGAAGGAUUGACAGAUCGAUAGCUCUUUCUCGAUUCAGUGGGUAGUGGUGCAUGGCCGUUCCUAGUUGGUGGUUGUGAUUUGUCUGGUUAAUUCCGAUAACGAACGAGACUCUGACCUAUUAACUAGGCGAUACCGGUAUAAAUAGCUACCGGCGAGAUUUAUUCUUCUUAAGGGGACAGGCGGCUCUUAGCCGCACGAGAUUGAGCGAUAACAGGUCUGUGAUGCCCUUAGAUGUUCUGGGCCGCACGCGCGCUACACUGAAGGAAUCAGCGUGUGUAUCCCUGUCCGAAAGGUCCGGGUAACCCGUUGAACCUCCUUCGUGCUAGGAAUUGGGGCUUGCAAUUGUUCCCCAUGAACGAGGAAUUCCCAGUAAGCGUAAGUCAUAAGCUUUCGUUGAUUACGUCCCUGCCCUUUGUGCACACCGCCCGUCGCUACCUCCGAUUGAAUGAUUUAGUGAGGUCUUCGGACCGGCGAUAACCGGCACCGAUUCGUUCGGUAUCGAUUUCGCUGGAAAGAUGACCGAACUUGAUCAUUUAGAGGAAGUAAAAGUCGUAACAAGGUUUCCGUAGGUGAACCUGCGGA
This 1885-nucleotide ribosomal RNA is filed under the name Artheneis intricata. RNAcentral's name for it is "SSU rRNA". It matches the Rfam family "Eukaryotic small subunit ribosomal RNA". The record is from RNAcentral. Lineage: Eukaryota; Metazoa; Arthropoda; Insecta; Hemiptera; Artheneidae.